CUUCCGUAGGGGAACCUGCGGAAGGAUCAUUACAGAAUGAAAAGUGCUUAACUGCAUUUUUUCUUACACAUGUGUUUUUCUUUUUUUGAAAACUUUGCUUUGGUAGGCCUUCUAUAUGGGGCCUGCCAGAGAUUAAACUCAACCAAAUUUUAUUUAAUGUCAACCGAUUAUUUAAUAGUCAAAACUUUCAACAACGGAUCUCUUGGUUCUCGCAUCGAUGAAGAACGCAGCGAAAUGCGAUAAGUAAUAUGAAUUGCAGAUAUUCGUGAAUCAUCGAAUCUUUGAACGCACAUUGCGCCCUUUGGUAUUCCAAAGGGCAUGCCUGUUUGAGCGUCAUUUCUCCCUCAAACCCUCGGGUUUGGUGUUGAGCGAUACGCUGGGUUUGCUUGAAAGAAAGGCGGAGUAUAAACUAAUGGAUAGGUUUUUUCCACUCAUUGGUACAAACUCCAAAACUUCUUCCAAAUUCGACCUCAAAUCAGGUAGGACUACCCGCUGAACUUAAGCAUAUCAAUAAGGCGGAGGAAAAAG
This 528-nucleotide ribosomal RNA is filed under the name Lodderomyces parapsilosis. RNAcentral's name for it is "eukaryotic LSU rRNA". The stretch from base 183 to 336 matches the Rfam family "5.8S ribosomal RNA". Lineage: Eukaryota; Fungi; Ascomycota; Pichiomycetes; Serinales; Debaryomycetaceae. The record is from RNAcentral.